CUCAACGGGAGGGAGAGCGCCUUGGGGUGUGGGUUGUGUGUGCUGUGUCGUGGUGUCGCGGUGUCGCGUGGAAGGCGUGUGUGGGCCGAGUGUGUGAGUGGACGCGUAUGUGAGAGCGCGUGGGGCGUGCAAGGUGAGUGCGUGCACUCCCCCCCUUGGCCUCUACUCCCGCCUACACAUUGAUCUUAUUUGAUCGGGUUGUGACCCCAGCCCCGCCGGGCGGACCCGAAAUGAAAAGCUCCCCUCCUGCGAAGCCCCCUCCUCGGGGCGCUGUGCAGCGAGGCCCCUUGGGCGGCGGUAACGCCGCGGUCCCGGAGGUCCCGGAACCGGUCCUACGGGGCCCGGCGCUCAGAAGUGAUGAAUUGAUCAGAUAGACGAGGCCAGGCUUGUCCCGGGCCGCUGAUUAUCGAGGCGAUUCUGAUCUGA
Small nucleolar RNA from Pteropus vampyrus (large flying fox), 426 nucleotides. Ensembl annotates it as small Cajal body-specific RNA 2. Its record names the gene SCARNA2. Lineage: Eukaryota; Metazoa; Chordata; Mammalia; Chiroptera; Pteropodidae. The record is from Ensembl.